Molecule: ribosomal RNA, 420 nt
Filed under: uncultured bacterium
Lineage: Bacteria
Description: bacterial SSU rRNA
Rfam family: Bacterial small subunit ribosomal RNA
Source: RNAcentral
GAGGAAUAUUGGUCAAUGGUCGCAAGACUGAACCAGCCAUGCCGCGUGCAGGAAGACGGUCCUAUGGAUUGUAAACUGCUUUUAUACAGGAAGAAACCCUCUCACGUGUGGGAGCUUGACGGUACUGUAUGAAUAAGCAUCGGCUAACUCCGUGCCAGCAGCCGCGGUAAUACGGAGGAUGCGAGCGUUAUCCGGAAUCAUUGGGUUUAAAGGGUCCGUAGGCGGUUUAAUAAGUCAGUGGUGAAAUCUGGUCGCUCAACGAUCAAACUGCCAUUGAUACUGUUAGACUUGAAUAAUUGUGAAGUAACUAGAAUAUGUAGUGUAGCGGUGAAAUGCUUAGAUAUUACAUGGAAUACCAAUUGCGAAGGCAGGUUACUAACAAUUUAUUGACGCUGAUGGACGAAAGCGUGGGGAGCGAAC